AGGUCAAGCGAAGAAGAGCGCAGGGUGGAUGCCUUGGCACUAAGAGCCGAUGAAAGACGUGAUAAGCUGCGAAAAGUCACGGGGAGGAGCAAAUAUCCUUUGAUCCGUGAAU
Molecule: ribosomal RNA, 112 nt
Filed under: Roseburia sp. AF22-2LB
Lineage: Bacteria; Bacillati; Bacillota; Clostridia; Lachnospirales; Lachnospiraceae
Description: partial 23S ribosomal RNA
Rfam family: Bacterial large subunit ribosomal RNA
Source: RNAcentral